This 5108-nucleotide long non-coding RNA is filed under the name Olea europaea (common olive). RNAcentral describes it as "long non-coding RNA (OEUR_LNC007780)". The record is from RNAcentral. Lineage: Eukaryota; Viridiplantae; Streptophyta; Magnoliopsida; Lamiales; Oleaceae.
GUGCAACAGCCAGUUUGCUCUGCACUAUGUUAAUUAUAGUUCAUUUUCCUCUUCCUUUACAUAAGCUAAAAUCUUUAUGGACAAAAAAUUAAUAACGAAAGAUCAACUUGUUUUCUCCUCAGCUAAUAUAAAUAUAGAGAUUCAAGAUCCAGAGUCCAUUGCAUAAAAAAAUUCGAGAAUACGUGACGCUAGUUAGGAUAGUAAUUAUCGUGCAAGCUAGCUGCAACAGAUGAUUUUCAGGAAAUAAUACGAAUGAAAACGCCCAAGGACAGAGAGAAUUCUUUGAAAUUCAAUUCAACAUUUAUUAAACUCGGAAUCAAUGAAAAAUAACCCACAAGUUGGGCUAAAUAGCUGAGAAAAUACGAAAUUAUGGAAGUUUUGCCAAAAAUCCCAAAAAUCACACCAAAAUAAAAUACGGAAUAAAAUAAGUAACUUGCCAAACCUAUGGCUCAAAUUGGAUUCGUAGUCAACUAGAAAAAGGAAAAAGAAACAUUACCAUAAAUGGAAAAAAACAACUAAAAAUUGAAAUUCGAAGGGGAAAAUAGCGAAUUUUACCCUCGAAAUUGAUGUCUAUCGAGUAUAGCUGGGUGACCACGACAUGCGCACCAAAAAGAGCAUUUCGAAUUGGGUCAUAAUGACGAUUCUGAUAACCGUAGCCAAAGUUAUGGCUAAAUUACCAAAAAUGUAUCAAAAUUACCCCAAUUAAAGAAAGUGUUGUAAUCACCUUCCAUCUUUGAGUCGAUCUGCCAUCUCAUAGUAUCUCAACGACAUUAAAGUGCUAUCUAACAUCUGGGCCUCACUUGAUUCAGAACCUCCUGCAUCAAUCUGUCACCAUAUUUAUGCAUUACCACCCAAAAAUAGUAAGUUUACUGUCAAUCAUUGCACCGCAAUGCAAUCACCGACGAAUCCAGCACCUGUCAAGUAUCGACGACUGCCCAUGCUGGCUCCGCCGAGAAAUGUUUUUUUUCCCCCUUAUAAUAUUGGGCAGCCGCAUGCUCACCUCUCAUCCUAGAUCCGUUAGUGAAUGCAAUUAGUUAGUCACUUAAUAUGGGGCAAUGAUACAUUACUGCUAGUGAUACAUGGCAGUGCUCAAUAAUUAAGCUAUUUUAUUCUAUUUUUAUGAAUGCUUAGUUGUGGAUCUUCUGGACCUCUCAUAAUUUCAUCAACUGAAUGAUCAACUAUGUGAUAGAUCCCAGGGCUGGCCUUGAGAAUUCUGAGGCCCUAGGCGGCCAAUUAUUAUGAGGUCCUAUAAUUUAUUUAUUUAUUUUAUUAUUAUUAUUUUUUUACAUGUGUGUGUAUAUAUACAAAAGACUUUUUAUAAUCCAAAUCUAGAAUUGCAAAACAAAAGCUUGGCAGCCACUUUUACUCCCCUCUCUUCAUUCAAACUGUCCAAAAACUCCCAAAUGCCUAUAUUAAUUCUAUUACUUCUCUACCCUUGUCUUAGAUUUCAAGCCCAUCUUUAAAAUGCACAUGCUAGUGAUAAUUCAUCAAUUGUUAAAACCGAUUUUCAUGACCACACAGUUUAAAUGAACCACGCUUUCCUUAUAUUCUUCCUACCCUUUAUAACAUUACCAAACAAAGGGCAUAAAGCAUAUUUCACCAAUCCCAUAUUCAUGUAAUAUAGCAUUAAUCAUUUCAAGUAGUCGAAGAAAAAUCUUUAAUUACAAGCCAAAACCAAUUAUUUGAGCAUCGCUAAAAGGCUUUAAAAACCGUAAAACUAGAUAUAAUUUUCUAUCUUUCCAAUAGCAAAUAAUUCUUUCAAGAAUUCAGAGAUUUGUCCAAAUGUGCAUUUUCUUCAAAUUUCUAAGUAUAAUAAGAAAGUCUAGUACACAAAAUAAUUCAUUUCAUCAAAGAAAAGGAUAUUCCUAUGAGGUUUCACACAACAAAACCAAACAAUAUCAAACAAAAGAGAAACCAACAAGCACACAUAAUAUUCAAUAAAUCAAGAAACUCAUACCAAUGCAAAAGGGAAAAAUAAAAGCCUAAAUAAUGAGCCAAAAGUGUGCCCUUAAAUUGCACAAAUAUGCAGAAGUAGAAAUUAGCCAAAAGCAUUUUUGCAUCUGCCAAAAUUAGAUGAAAAUCCCAUUAUUUGGAAGACAAAAUUACAAAAAGAAAGCAGGAUUUUGUUGCAAGUAUUCGUUGGAUUGAAGUGAAUCUCUGACGUCUUCUCUUUUAGUCUAGGGCUUAUUUUGAGCAAUUGGGUGAAUUUUGGACAAGUCGUUAGGGUAAGUUUUGGGCUGAAUUUUUUUUAAGAGGCCCCUAUAAAUGAUGAGGCCCAAGGCGGCUGCCUAGUUCGCCUUGGGCCAGGGUCGGCCUUGAUAGAUCCUCAAGCGAACCAAUAUGUCACGCCAUCAAAUAAGAAAAGUGCACAGUUCUUUAGAACCUCAUUUGUGAAGUUCUUCCCACGAACAAUCAUAAUUUGUUCAUCUCUUUUGAUUUUGAUUGUAUUGAAAGGGAUAAGAAAAAGCAAAAGCUUUAAAUACUUGCAUCCUAAAGCAACACAUGUGAAAGCUCAUACCCUCAAGUAGUCCAAGUGUCCAAGAAAAUGAUUCAAAUUGCAAUGUAAUAUUCUUUGAAGACUAGAAAGAGGGGAUCCUAUAGUAGCUUCUCUAUCUUUCAAAAAACAAAAAAGGGAAGCUUUCUUCCAUACAUGGAUUUGAUAAGUAUUUUUGACAAAUAAUCGUGAUCUUUAAUUUAAGCAAAUUUAAUGGUCAGUAUCUUAUGGAUUUCAAGUGUUCAUAACUAACUCUUUUAUGACCAUAGUGAAAUACAUACUGACCGUUAGAUUUGCUUAAAUUAAAGGUCAUGAUUAUUUGUCAAAAAUACUUGUCAAAUCCAUGUGUAGGAGGAACACUUCCCUACAAAUAAUUAUCAAUUUAUUAAUUGGUACAACUUGUGAACAUUUGCAAGAAAGUUUUCCCUAUUUAAAUGUAAAAUUUCAUCACAUAUAUGCGACUCAAAGAAGUUACAAAAACAAAUAUAAAGUUUUAGUACUUGAAGCCACUUGAGUACAAAUUGACUUAUUCUCAUUUCAUGAUAAUGUUGUAUAAAUGCAAAUUUGAUAAGUUGCCCAUUCUUAGAUAAAAUUUAUUGUUCACUUCUUGGUAUUUGUGGUCUAAAACUAAGUCACACAAGUUAAAUGAUACAUCUAUCUAUAUUUUAGCACUCUCAUUUGAAUUGACAUGAAAUUUUAUGUGAGAUAUGAAAAAAUGGAUAUUAUCUGCAACAUCUAACUUAAUUCUUUUUGCAUUAAACUACGGCCAAAAAUCCUACAUCAGUUGCUUUGUAGAUUAAUGGUAGUAUUAGAAACUAGAUAAUAAAUUAGAAGACAACACUAUUAUUCAUGCACAUCUCAAAAAAAAAAAAAAAAUGCACAUUAAAAACAAAACUAAAAAAAAAAAAAAAAAAAAUGCACAUCUCAAAAAUAAGCUAGCAGCAUUAAAUCGCAAUUGAUAAAUAUUUUUUACUUCAAGUAUAACAUUAGAGCUAAAUGCCGUAAUAUGUUUGCUUGGAAGUAAAUCUCAAGAUGUGUUCUCUUGAAGUUGCAUUAGAACACAAUGGAUUCCCAUUCCUCUACAAGUAAUGGAACAUUGUAAAAGAAAAAGGAUCCCAUAUUAUUACAUUUGAAAUAAAUUUCCUGGGAUUUGAAAUUUUAUCAAGUUUACAAAAUAGCUAAAGAGAAAAAAAGUACAACCUUCACUACUGGAAAAUACUGAUGCUAAAAACACGCUACACUUUUUCUAAUUUACGGUAGGGCAUCUUUAAAUACACUUUGUGAAUGCUACGUAAUUUGCUAGUUCAUUACCUUGAACGAACUAGCAUACUGUAGUUUAUUCGAUAAUAUUAUCUCGCACAUGAAUUUAUUCUAUUUUUAUAUUUUCCAGAUUCCAAAAGAGCAAAAAUCCUAGAGGUUGUAAUGCCAAGUUUUUAAUUGACAACCUGCUGUAGCAAAUUUACUUCUAGAAACUGAAACUGAAACUUAAGGUUAAAAAUUGCCUACAUAUGAUUUGAGGGAUUAUGUUUGUUUUCAUUGCUAGAGUGAACACUGAUUCAGACUGGUUAUUUAAUUGUUCAAGUUUUUAUAAUUUACAAGCCCACCUGGCCAAAUUAUCCUUUGCUGGCUAACUGCUUUAGAUCAAAAAUUAACCACAUGCAAGUUAAAAGCAUCAAUCAUUCGACUAUCGAACAGCCAUGAAAAACUACAAUUCUGAAUUUUACGGGGUGCACAAAUGCAUGCCACAGGAACCUCAUUUUUUUUUUCAAAUUUUUAUGGUGUGCUCAAUUGCAUUCUGUAAAAACCUCAUUUUUUCUCUUACAUUUUUAUAGCGAGUAAUAUGUACGCCGUAAUAUUUUUUUUACAGCACACAUUAACGCACAUUGUAAAUAGUUACGUCAGCUUUUACGACGUGCACAAAAUGCAUGCCAUAAAUACUUUAAGUAAUUAAUUAUUAUGGCAUUCCAUAUAUGCAUACUGUAAAUGCCGUAAAAAGCUACUUUUGUUGUGGGUCUUUGCAUUGCAGAAGUCCCAUAUGAAGCCGUACAAUAUUAGAGACAAUCAUGUUACAAGUACAAAAAAAUUUAAUAGAAAAUUUUGACAGACAACACAUGGCGAAAAUUGAUUGGAAGAUAAAGAGCGAAAAGAAAACAAUUCAAUCAUCUACCGCCACGUCAACAUCGAUAGGAAUUCUGUCAAGAAUUCCAUGAUAUCAUGAUUUUUUCCAAUUAGAAAAGAAAGUAGAAGUUCAAGAGCAUGGGGAUGAAGAGAAAAUUCAAUUAAAAGCAUAAUAAUCAUGAACAAGUAAAUGACAGAGAAAUACAUUUUAACAUUGAAGGAAGAGGAAAACCUACUAUGGCAAAAACAGACAAAACAUCAUAUAUUUUCUAACUACGGUAGACAAACGGAAAUCCUCUGAACAUGCAAUAAGCAAAUUGGGCCAUGGAACUAAUUGAGCAUAAAUACUAAGAUAUUGCAAAAUAAUAAAUGUGCACCUUGAUCACUUGUUCAUUCUCUUCAAGUUAUCUCGUAAAGUGGCUCCAAAGACGUAUUCAGAGAUGGAAAAAAGAAUUGUCUUUAACACGUGUGGUUCUAUUACAAGUGCAUUUAUGGG